This is a non-coding RNA of Salvia hispanica, 718 nucleotides long. Lineage: Eukaryota; Viridiplantae; Streptophyta; Magnoliopsida; Lamiales; Lamiaceae. The record is from RefSeq and is a predicted model, not a curated record.
GUACCUGGCUGAAUCCAAGAUUGAGGAUGAUCCAAUGGGGAUACUAGGAACUCUUCCUUGCUUGGUAGCAUUGGAAUUAGUUGAGGAAUCAUUUGUUGGGGAGGAGAUGAGGUGUCCAGCAAACAGUUUUCUUCAUCUCAAGGAGCUAGUAUUAAGUGGUUUACCAAAGUUGAGGGAGUGGAGAGUGGAGACCGGAGCCAUGCCCCUUCUCUCUAAAUUAACAAUCGCAGACUGUUCUUGUUUGGAGAUGCUUCCAGAGGGAUUGACUGCCCUUUCUACCCUUCAGACUCUCACAAUUAAAAGAAUGCCGGAACUGAGGAAAAGGAUAUCACCAUCAGGACAGGAUUUCCAUAAAGUCUGCCAUGUCCCUUCAAUUAUCAUCGAGGUCUAGUCUUCUCCCAGGUUCAAGAACUGUUCAUCUCUGUCACUUUUGGUGUUUGAAGAAAACACUGUACCUUUCUCUAAAGGGUACAUUACAUGGUUAAAUUUCUUCCCCUUCGUGCUUCAGUCUCGUCGUUGCAUUUCUCGAGUGUUCCUCUUUGUACUCUCUUCUCUGGCAGAGAAAUCCUUCGUAGUUAUGUGUUUGUUGGAAUCUUGAUAAUUUAAAGUUGUGUAGUAGUGUGGGUUACUAAGAUACUUAUAUUUGAAAUGACGUAGUGUUUGAAUUGAAAAUAUUGAUGGUUUGUAAUAACUCAAAUGUUGGAAGUGAAGAAUUGUG